RNAcentral lists this ribosomal RNA (148 nucleotides) under uncultured Lachnospiraceae bacterium. Its description in RNAcentral is "partial 16S ribosomal RNA". It matches the Rfam family "Bacterial small subunit ribosomal RNA", at positions 544 to 691 of the family's 1533-position model. The record is from RNAcentral. Lineage: Bacteria; Bacillati; Bacillota; Clostridia; Lachnospirales; Lachnospiraceae.
UCCGGAUUUACUGGGUGUAAAGGGAGCGUAGACGGAUGGACAAGUCUGAUGUGAAAGGCUGGGGCUCAACCCCGGGACUGCAUUGGAAACUGCCCGUCUUGAGUGCCGGAGAGGUAAGCGGAAUUCCUAGUGUAGCGGUGAAAUGCGU